ACACUAGCUUUUAUUUUAUUUAUAUGCUCACAUUUAUCCAUAAAAGCCAACCCAUUGAACUAUAACUCCAUAUUCAAAUAGUGGCUUAUAGAACUACAUUUUCUCCCUUGACAAGAUGACCAUCAAUAUCUCUAGUGCAUUUGCUAAGGUAGUCCAUCCAGCCAUUGGGAGUAUCAAUAUCCUCAUUUUUCUUCUCAUAAUCAAUAGUCCAUCUAACAGCAGAACUUCCAUUAUCCUUGAUAAUCACUUCUAAGAUAACGUUAAAGACCUUAUAGUUUUCAAUAUCUCCACCAAACAGCUUGAAAGUGAUUUUUUUGUUCUCCUCAUCAACUUCUUCAACCUGCUCAUUGCAUGUGUGUACCUCGCCAUCUGUUGUUAUGUCAGAGCCAAUUAUAAUACCAAUAUAUAAGGCAAAUGAUAGAUUGAAAUACUAUCAUUUCUACACCCUUAUACCAGUGCUGAUGAGGCAAGGUUUUUUAUUAAAAAAUUAUUGAUAAUAAUAGAAUAAAAAAUAGGGUUAAUAGUGUUUUACCCUCCUUGUAAUAUAGGUCAUUUUCGGAUUUGUUCCUCUAGAAAAUUUUGUUUUGUUUUCGUCCUUGUAAAAAAAAAUUGUUUCAAAAUAAUCCCCUAAUAGGCCAUUCAAAAACCAAAAUAUUUGGAAAAAAAAAAUUAUGAAAAUGGCAUAUUAGGUGGGUAUUCUAUGGGAAAAAAAAUUUACAAGGACGAAAACGAAAAAUAAAAUUUUACAGGAGGUAAACCCGGAAAUGACCUAUAUUACAGGGGGAUAAAACACUAUUAACCCUAAAAAAUAAUAAUAAUUUUAUCUUUCAAUGUCCUCAAACCUAACUCUCUCUCUCUCUCUCUCCCUAAACUUCUCUCUGACACAAAGCUAUGUACCCUCUCUCUCGUCACUCUUCACUCAGAUCUGAAUGGAGGACAAAAUGGUCGACGAUGGUGGACGGUAAUAUGGUGGUGGCUGAGGUGGAUGGAGGUCGACGGUGGUGAGAAGGACGAUGAUUUCGUUGUCUUGGACAGAAAGAGAGAAGAUGGAGCCGGAGAUGAGGGUGGAAACUGAUUUGGGUUUUAGUGGAUAGAUGGUGGAGAGACGAUGGUGGUGAUGUGGUGGACGAUGGUGGAAGAAUAGUUAGCGAGGCGGUUGAGAGAAAAUUCAGAUUUGCUGGGUUUAAGGAGGGGCAAAGUGAUGACGACAGAACAAGUGGUGAGGAGGACGGCAAUCAAUCUGUUUCUGCGGCGGCAUGGACAACUGUGGGUGUGGUGGAGAAGGAUGUUGAUGGUGGUGGUGACUGGUGGUGGGUGUGCAAGGGAUGGGACAAAAUAAUAAUUUUUAUUUAAAUUUUUUUGAUAUGAAAUAGACAUAAUUUUUUAAUAUUAAAUUUGUCAACUAGAGGAUAGUAGAAGAGUGGUAAGAACACAAAAGGGUGUCAAUAUAUAAUAAUAAAAUAAGGUUUUUUCCUCCAAAGAAAAAAAAAAUAUUGAUAAGGAUACAUUAUUUCUAAAAAUAAAAUAUUUUAUUUUUGAGAAAAAAAUAAAUUAUUUUAUUGUUUUCAUUAUAUGGAUACGUAUUUAAGUGGAGAAGUGAGUUGUCCAGGGUUUGAAUCGCGUCCCCUGAAUAUAUCAUGCAAUGCUUAUAUCAACUUAGCUAAACUCACGGGGACAAUAUAUGAUGAUUCUGAUUUUAUAAAAAUGAAUUUUGAGAACAUAACUUGAUUUAUCUUUUUAUUUAUCUGAUAUAUAUACAUAUAAACACACAUAUAUUAAAUACUUAAUUCAUUAUAAUCUAUUAAACUAUUUUUAAAUUAAGUCACUGUUAAUUUAAAUUAUUGCCUUCAUUAUAUAUUAAUAUUUUAUAUAAAAAUUUCUUUUAUUACAUAAAUUAUUGCCUUUAUAGGCUGUUUAGGUGACUUAGGUUCAAAUUAUCGAAUUCAAAGUAUACUUUUUGUUAGACAAAUGUAUGUUAGUUGUUAUCUUAUAGUUUCCUUGAAUCAAAUCAAGAGCCCUAUGUAUAGGAUUCAUUGGUGUUCUUCAGCUCGCAAAACCUAUUUUUAUUUUUUAAUGACAAAUUUUGUUUAAAAUUUGGUUAUGCUCAAGACGAACAGAGACCAGUGUCAUAGAUUACAUAACAAAAGACAUCGUAUAUAAGCGGAACACCUAAAAAAACUCCAUAAAAGACAUCAUACACCAAUCACCUAACCAAAACCUACCUUCAACACCCAUAAGAACACAACCACCAAAACCAACUUCACCACCUAAAUCAAACUCCAUCGCAAACAACCACUGAAAACGAAAUCCAUAAACCCCCUUCGCUCGCUGCUCACCCCAAAAAAAACUCCUCUAAAUCAAACAACCUCUUCUCGUCACCUUAGCUGAGCCAUACCCAAAAAUGACAUAUUUCAAUGCUUAGUCGGCCAUCCCCCCGCUCUCCCCCCGAUCCACCAAAGAAAAAACCAAAAUUAGCCCAAAGCAAAACUUGAAUCAAAGUACGGACUACUGAUCUUAAAUCAAAAACAAUCAGCCCACCAGACUCCAUAAACAAAUCAGUAAGGCACCCCUCACCCCCAAUCUACCGGAGAAGACCUAGCCAAACGAAUUUCGAAUCAGACAUUAACUCUUGAUCUCGAAGCAAACGCGACCGGUCCAUUAGAAUUCAUAUCGCAAACCUGUAAGACAUUCAACAAGAUGAAAGGUGUUCCAAACAGAAAUUAAAUCAAAAAGGAAAAGGCUAAGCUCGAAAACCACCCACACUCAAGCUCCCAAACACAAAAUCAACCAAAAGCACCAAGAGUUAGCGACGACAGAUAUGGACCCAAACAUAUAAAGCGGCCUACAACUGAAACACCGAGAGAUCACUACCACCCAUAAAAUCACUAAAAACCCACUAAUAUAACAUCCACCUCCCUACCUAAAAAAAUGUCUACCACCCCAUAUAAUAAGCUCCCGUUCAUCAAAUGUUCCAACGCCAUAUCCGAGUUCUUAUUAUACACGACCACCCCAUCUGAACAACACCACUACAACACCGAUACACCACCACGCAAACCUAAACCUGGACAACCUCCCCCAACCAUUUCGCAGCACAACUGACACUACUACAACAACAAACAACCGAAACCAACAUGACACCCCCAUCACCACCAAAACUCAGUGACCUCAAAACACUAUACAUCACAAUCUCCUAUCCACCACAAACCCACCAUAACUCGUGACCUCGGCCUCCAUAGAGCAUCACGUCCCCCUCAAUAAAACACCUCAUCACCACCAAAAAAUUUGAACAUCAAUAGAUGAGGUCGCCGACGUAGGAGCCAUCCGUGACUGGAAAGCAAGGCAAGCACAAUCUAAAUCAGAAUAUGCAUAUCUGGUUCGGAUCGGAUCCAAUAAUACGAAGUCGGACCUACAACGUUUAAAUAGAACAAAAAAACGUUGAAAUAGAAUAGAAAACGAAGCAACCACCACUGCACCAAAUCCGACGCGACGGCGUGACCCUUUCAGGAGGUGGAUGGAGGUGGUGCAGCCGCAGGAGGCGCGCACCACCCAAUAGAUGGCUAAAUCUUUACGAGCCGCGUAUGGCGUGUUUGGACCAAGGGAGAGGAACACGACUUUUCUAGAGAGAAGGCAGAGGAUACUUUUCUAAAGACAAGGUUUUUAUGUUUUCUAAAAAAAAAAACUUGUUUUAUUAGAACUAUAAUGAUUAUUAAAAAAAAGGUAAACAUAAAAUAUUUUUCAAGUCAAUUGAAUUGGAAACAUACUUACCUAUGACAAAAGUCCAAUGUUUAACCGAAUCAUUGUGAUGCCAAUGUUCACCUUCGUGAAGCUUACCAUGAUGAACUCUUUCACAAACGUUAUGCACUUCGUGAAGUUCUGAUGCAUAUUGUUUGAAGAACUUCUCCCCUGGUGCUUUAAUCCCAAGUUCAGUGAUAAGUUUACCAGCUAGCACCAUUUUUGGAAAGGAAAAAAAAAACUAAAUACACAAUAAUAGAAAGAAAGAGAAGAAAGAAACAAAAUAGAAAUUUUAAAUCCCAAGUUCUAUGAUAUGAUGGUGUAUGAAACCACAUGCCUUAAAUAGAAAUUUGAUUACAUUUACUAUGCAAUAGACCUAACAAAUUUAAUUAUGCGGCCCACUACUUGAUUCGUGCUCCCCCAACCAAUGCCAUGACAUGAUCUAAUGUACGAAAUAUUGAUUACAACCUGCUAAAUCAUUUAUAAAUUUAAUAUCUAAUUUAAAAAAAUUAAUUUUCCCUUCUAGAAAUGCAUUUUUAUCGUUUUUGUUUUGGUAGAAAAAUACAUUUUUAUUGUUAAUUACAUUAAAGAAUAAACCAGAUAAAAAUAAUUAUUAUCAUAUAUGAAGAAUAUGGAUCAUUGUUACUAAUAUCCGGCUCAAAAGAAAUAUCAUUUUCAAUUCUAAAUUUUAUGUUAUGUUUCUUAAACUUUUUACUUUGGCAGAGCUUAAGUAUUCUACUAAUAGUAAAUUAACCAACUAAACUUACAAAUAAUUUCGAAAUAUAGCACAAUAAGGAAUUGUAGUGUUAAGGAGAUUAUGCGUAUAAUUUUUUUUAAAACAACAAAAACAUUUCACAAAUUCUAUAGAUUAACUGCAAACACAAAAUAUCCAUUUAUUUAUACAUCACAUGAUUUAAGGCACACUAAUUAAGGCACCAUGCCAUUACAAACAUCACACUAAUUAUAAAAUAACCACUUAUAUUCACAAAGGAAGCCCCAUUAAGCCAUAACUCCUUAUUUAUUACUUUCUUUAUGACUUAUCAUAUGAAGCUUAUUAAGCCUUGACAAGAUGAGCAUCCAUGUCUCUAGUGCUUUUGGCAAAGUAGUCCAUAUAGCCAUUUGGAGGAUCAAUAUCCUCAUUGAUUUUCUCAUAUUCAAUAGUCCAUUUAACAGCAGCAUUUCCACCAGCUUUAUCAAUUACUUCAAGGAUGAGCUUAAAGACCUUAUAGUGUUCAUCAAUAUCUCCACCAAAGAGCUUGAAAGUGAUUUUCUUGUUUUGUUUAUCAAGAUCUUCAAUAAUCUCAUGACAUGUGUGUACUUUGCCAUCUGUGUUUUGAUGUCAUGGGAAAUCAAUACAAAGAAAAAUGAAACACAGAUUAAAUUUUUAUAAAUUACUAUUGAAGGUUCUUGAAAAGUGUCUCGGAUGCAUUUGUUAACUUAUAUGACCAAAUUUAACAAAUGGUUAGAAUGAAGUCCAAAGUUUCCGUUAAAGUGAUUUUCAAUGUUUCCAAUUUUUCCUGUAUCUAGAAUUGUAUUUCGAUUCACGUAAAGUAGACUCUAUUCACGUAGAUGUAAACCCUCUAUUCAACAUUUAUAAAUACAUGUUCUUAUAAGUAAACUCUAUUUACGUAUUUCUAUUUAACUUAAACCUAAGUUACCUAUGUGAUUUAAAUUUGCCGUAACUUUAAGAAUACGUGUAUAAAUUUUAGAUCGGGUGAUGAUGUAAAUGUAUAGUAGUGUGUAUAUUUUUUUUUUCCAAAGAAGCAAUAUCCAUACACAAACUGAAACAAAAAAAUAUCCCACAAAACAAUAGAAAUAUGCAAAAGAAAAAAUAUUUUUUUUGUUGGAACGUCGGCAUAAUGGCUAAGGAAUAGGUAAAGGAAACGUUAACAAAUGCAUACGAGACACUUUUCAAGAACCUUUAAUAAUAAUUUAUAAAAAUUUAUGUAAUCAAUACACUAAAAUUUGAAAUAUUUAACUUUUUGAAAAAAUACUUUCCAAAUUUAUAAUUCUUAAAUAGUGUUUUAUGACACUCGCUAACAAGAUCCAUAAACCAAAACAUCUAUGUCUAUCCUAAUUCCUAACCACUAAAACAAAGACCCUUUAACAGGAUAAGUACUGAACAAACAGUAGUGAAUUGAAUUCAUGACAGUUUCCAUAAUCUUGUUUUACAUGUGUGUAUUAACUCAUUUCACGCAUCCCCCACCCCACACCAACGCAUAAAAGUCAGGAUAACAUAUAUUUAUUGUGUUAGUUAGGGUUUGGUUAGAUGUUUCAAAAUAGUGUCCUUGUGAGUGUAGCUUAAUUAGUAUGGAUAAGGGUUCAAAGACCACCACAAAAAUAAAAAAGUUUCAAAAUACUUCAUCAAUAUCAUGAUAAAAGUACUAAUUCUGUUUUAAAAUAAGUGAAAUGAUAUUUGAACAAAUUUUUAUGACAAUUUUUUCUCUCAUACUCACAUCAUGUUUUUGAGGGGUAAUCUUGGCGCAACUGGUAAAGUUGUUGUCAUGUGACCGAAAGGUCACGGGUUCAAGUCCUGGAAACAGCCUCUUGUGUAAAAACCAGGAUAAGACUGCGUAAAAUACACCAAAUGGUGGAACCCCUUCCCGAACCCUGCAUAUGCAGGAGCUUUAGUGCACCGGGUUGCCCUUUACUCACAUCAUGUCUUUAUUUUCUCUCUUUUUUGCUUUCAUUUUUGUACCAAGAUAUAUAUUUCUUUGUAAUUUUCGGCUGUCCCAUAAAAUGGUUGUUCAAAUAAUAUUGCUUUAAAAUAAUUAUAUUUAAUUUUUUUUCUGUCUCAAAAUAAUUGUCAAUUUAUAAUAACAAUACAAUAUUUAUUAUUUCCUCCACUAUUAUACUAUUAUUUAUUUAAUUUCAUCCAACUUAACUACUUCACUAACUACAAUUAAUAAAGGUAUUCUAGUAAAAGAUACUAAUUUUAUCAUUGAAAUCAACACGAUUAACUUUUCCUUAAAAAUAAUACACAAACCUUAAACGACUACUUUGUGCACAAUUUUUUUUAUUUUAUCAGUUACUUGAAAAUAAUCAUUUCUUCUAUCUUUUUAUGUAUAAAAAACAAUAGAGAGAAAAGAAAAAAAACAAGUGAGAGGUAAUAGGAGUAUAUAAGAGCAAAAGAUAUGGUACUUAAAUAAAAAAAAAAAUUUAAAUGGGUCUCACGUGUGUACAAUAUUUAUUUAUAAUUUUUUUUAAUAAAAACAUCUAUUAUCCUUCAAAAAUAAAAACAUCUAUUAAUGAUUCGAUGAAUCCAAUAGCCCGUUAACCAAAAAGAGUUCUUAAAUAGAUCCAUUGAUUUGUAGUUUAACAUGGACAUUUAGAAAAUGAAUUAAAAAAUUGAAAAGAUCAAGCACCCGUUAAUUGUUGGACCAACUUUUAUCUAUUCUCUUCCAUAUUUUAUUCGUAGAACCGGUUAGUUGUUAAAGAGAGAAAAUCCUUAGUUGCGGACAACUAAUAGGUAUGUAUUUCUUUUGUUCUUGCAAAAGUUGUUUCUAAAUAAUUAUACAAAUAUCAUUUAGGUUCUCUAUUACAAUGCAUCAAUCACUACUAGAAAAAGCAAAAUUAGAGAGGGAAAUUUGUGACGGAAAACAUAAAAUUCCUCACAAAUUCUUUGGUCGCAAAAUUUAGUGACGGAAUUAGAGAGGGAUUUCAUGUUUUCCCUCACUAAAUUUCCCUCACUAAUUUUUUUUUUAGUAGUGAAUAUAUUCUUUUGUUUAAUUAAACUGGUAUCUUCAAAUAUAUAUAUAUAUAUAUAUAAUAAAGAAAAUAAAUUAUAUUUGUAUUAAAACCCCGAUUAUUUCAUGCAAAAAGAAUUACAAUUUUGUUUAAUUUUAAACCCCAAUCAUACAACCUUUAAAAACUUUGAACUUUUAUGAAAACUUAUAAAAAAAAAAAAAAAAAAAAAAAAUCAUUUUAAAUGUGAUUAUACCAUUCUAAAAUAACAAAUUAAAGUUUGAGAUUUUUAGAAGAAAUAAAAUUUAUGGUAAAUUCAUAUUUAGUUAUUUAAAAAAAAAAAAAAUCACCGCACAAUUUCUUUGUUUUGUUGAGGCAAUUUUUUCACAUUUUUAACCAACUAGGUAGACCUAGUGUUGUUUGUGAUCUUAGAAUAUUCUCUUCUUAAAAUCUCGCGUCAGAUUCACUCAGAUGCCAAUUCCGAUAGUUUAGUUUAUCCAAUUCAAAACAAAAAAUUAGUGAUAGAUCAAAAUAUAAAUAAAAUUAAUAACAUCUAAUAAAAUCAAAAUCAAACAAUUAGAUGGUAAAAUCAAUAUCCGAUAGUUUCUUUGCUUAAGAAGCAUAAUUACCUAUGACAUAAGUCCACUGUUUAACCGAAUCAGAGCCAUGCCAGUCAUCACCUUGAUGCAGUUUAGUUUCAUGGACUCUUUCACAAAGGUUUUGUACAUGGUGUAACUCUGAUGAGAAUAGUUUAAAGAACUUGGCAGAGGAUGCUUUAACACCAACUUCGGUGCUAAUUUUACCAGCGAGCACCAUUUUUGGGAGAAACAAGCAAGGGAUAAUAUGAGCAAGUGGAAUCAACCUUAAGCCUUAAAUAGAAAUUUGCUUACACUAUACAAUAGAAAAAACUUUUUUUGUUGAAGAAAAUAGAAACACCAAAAUAAAUAACCUAAACAUAAAAUAUUACUAUCCACUACCACUAGACAGUGGUGGAGCCAAGAAAAGAAAACUUCGUAUGGAUUAACAAAAAAUAAACUUGAAUAUAUAGACAAAAAAUUUAUGUUGUAAUCAACAGCAAACACAAAAUUCAUCAUAAAUUUUUUUUUUAUACCUUCAAAAUUUAAAAUAAAUAUUUACACGUUCGGAAUGACAUAAAAGUGUAACUGUAAUGUGUAUUGGAAGGGAGAAGAGGGUAGGGUCGACCCAACACUUGUAAUUGUAAUUGUAAUGCAUAUUGGAAGCGAAUUUUAAAGUGAGACUUUUUUAGUUAAGAAAAUGUUGAUAACAUUUUAUUUUUAUUUAAGUUUUAAUUUACAAAAAAUUUUAGAUGCAAAAUGAUAUAUCAGAUCAUCAUAAUUGAUUUCAUUUAACAUUUAUUUUUCAAUUGACAAUAAAUUCAAUUCAUUUAAUCUUUGUUUGAAGACAAUUCUUUAAAAACAAAUAAGAAAUCUUUGUCAUGUAACGAAAACAAAAAAAAUUAUCUUUGUUGAGACAUUCAAGACUUUUAUUUUUAACCAAAAAAGAGGUGCAGCAAAGGACUGCUACCUCAAAAUAUUAUAGAUAGUGAGAAAAACACAAAGGAGGGGGACAUAUAACCAAAACCUCCUAAAAAUUAACAAACCUAAAAUUGGGUAACCCAAGUCUAUCUUGACGAUAAAAGCUUUGAAUGCAGGCAGGGACCUCCAUCCAAAUAGUGAUACCCUGGAUAUUAAGACCCAUUGAAGCGAGCUUAUCAACACAUUUGUUCCCUUCCCUAUAGAUAUGAGUAAUGAUAUAGUUCAUGUGCUGGAGGAUUAAGAGACAAUUUUUCCAUCUGUUUCUAAGGUCACAAGGAAUCAAAGUGAUAUUUUUAGCUGCAAGCACCACUAAGGAGGAAUCAGUUUCAAUCCAUAGGUUGUUCCAGCCUCUAUGAUGAGCUAUCUCUAUUGCCCUCAUAGCAGCAGAGAGCUCAGCAACGAACGCAUUACCCCCUCCCAAGUUCUCUGCAAAACAAGCCAAGAAGAUCGAGUUUGAGUUUCUGAAAAUGCCCCCACAUGCAGAUGUAUUAAGAGUAGAGGAGCCGUCAUUGUUGCACUUGAUCCAGGCAUUAAUAGGAGGAGACCAUAUGACUUCUUUAAUAAUAGGAGCUUUGGGAGGUUUAAUCUUGAUGUUGAACUUUUUCAAGAUUAUGAAGUCUCUGACAGAUGAGGUAGAUCUUUUGGAAGUAUUAUUCCCAGACAAAGCUACUGACGAGGUGAUGCUAUUAACUGCUAAUCUCUAAUUUGGAUUUUUGUCAUUAAACCUGCUUCGGUUCCUACUAUACCAAAUAGUGCUGAUGAUAUUGAUGAUAGAUGCUUGAAUAACAAUCUUACAUUGAGGGGACCAACCUCUCUGACAGAGAGUCCAAAUGUCCGGGAUUGAUUGAAAAUGCAGUGGAAAAUCCAAAAUAGAAGCAAACCAACACCAUAGUUUAAAAGCGAACGUACAUUCAAAAAAUAAAUGAAAGGUAGUUUCAGUAUGCUGAAAACAAAGGGAACACAUGGAAGGGAAAUAUAAACCUCUCUCUGCAAGUUUCUCGUGAGUGGGGAUCUUAUCAUGGAGGAGCCUCCAAGCUAAGAGGGAUUUGGAUGGUGGUAUGUCAUUGCACCAAACUUGCUCAGCCCAUUGCACCUUGACUGCAUGAUGUAACGCCCACUUUCGUUUAAUUAUUUAUUUAAUCGAGUUUAGGCGAUUAUAUUAUAUUUAUAUAAUAUAUGUGUGAGUUUUGUUGAUUUAAUAUGAUUUAAGUUAAUUUGAAAUAUUUGAUGUGUUUUGGUGAUGAGAUAAGAUUAUGAGACUUGUUUUAUUGUUAAAUAAAAUAAGAUUUGAUAAGAAAAUAAAAAUAUGAAAAAUAUUUAGUUGAGGGCUGUUUUGAGAUUUUAGAGAGUUUUGGGGGAGAAAGUGAGAUAAGAUAAGAUAUUAGGAAGAGCUAUAAAAGAGAUAGACCUAGUUUAAGAAAAAAAUAUUGCACGUACGUUUGUUUUUGGAAAAGAAGGAAAACCAAGAGAAAGCUAGAGAGAGGGCUGCGAUUUCUUCAAUACAAGGUAAGGGUGAGACUAUUAAUUCAGUAUUGUUAAUUGAUAUAGUUCUGAUGAAUAAUUGACAAAGUUAGGAUUGAUUUAGAUAAGUUUUGUAAUUAGGUUAAAUUCCUAAAAUUGAUGAUCAAACGGUAAAACUGAGUUAGAUUGAUGUAGAAACCGUCCUAUAACCUUAGAAUAUGUUUAGGACGAAUUCUGGAUGUGAAAUUAAGCUUAGAACCAUGUUAGAUGAUGAAAUUCGUGUAGAAACUGCAUUCUGCCGGUAGCGACAUUCAUCGCUCGCCUCCCGAGCAAUGAUCCUCGCCACGGCGAGUGAUGAACUUCAUCGCUCGCCACGCGAGUCAAAACCCCUCGCCUCGCGAGUUACAUGUCGUAGCUCGCCACAACGAGCAACCUUACUCGCCAUAGCGAGCAUGCCCAGAGAGCAUGUCAUUUUUUGAGUUUUGAGUUGAACCUUAGAUGCCUUUGAGUACCUUUAGGUGCCUACUAUUGAUUAGUGAAUGAUUUAGAACGAGAUUGAACUUAGAACAUCCUUAGUUGUUAUUCUGGCUUGUACUCGCCAUGGCGAGCAGAUGCUCUCGCCUCGCGAGCACUUCCAGAACUGAGUGCUUUUGAGGAUUGAGAGACUUGAGCUGUUGGGUUUGGUUAGAAAAUGAACUUUAGGUGCUAACGAGACCUAUUAGAGAUAAUGACUGUGAACUGUGAAGAUUUUAUGAUUUGUUAAGGGAUAAUGAAAUGAAAUAUGGAUUUGAUUGUCUUUACUUGAUUAUUGUUAAUUGAUCAAGAAUUGUUGAGAAUGAUUUGUUAUUAAGCUUGAUGUGAUUUGAUUAUGCUGCAAAUGUUAAUUAACUAAGUUGCAUGUCUAUGUAUAAGCUGAUGAUGAACUCCAAAUUAUUGGAUGUAUAUGUGAUAGGUUGAUUAAGAUGUUUUGUUGUUAGAGUCCAUGCAUUAACAUUCAUUGAGCUUUGUCCUCACCAUGAUUAGGAGCUUUGUCCUCCGCACGUUUAGGAGCUUUGUCCUCCGCACAAUGAAAGUAUAUUAAUACUUAUGAUGACGAUUGGUACCACAUGCAUAUAAGUGUCUAAGUUGCAUUGUCGCAUUUGUCGAGUUUCAAAGAUGUUUAUGUUGUUGAUGAUGAAUAAGUUGUGAUUAUGUGAUACAUGUUUAUCAAAGAUGCAAUGUUGAUUAAGACUGAUUAUGAUGUUAAUUAUGAUUUGUAUUAUUUUGAUUAAUAAUAUUGUGUUAAGAAAUCUCACCCCUUCUGCUUGAAAAUGUUGUUCUUCGUAUGAGUAACUUGCAGGUGAUCGUGCUUAAGUGUACAGUUUGCUGUUGUGAGUGGCAUUGCCUCACUGUGUCGUCAAGGUCGCUCUGAUACGUAAUGGGAUGGGGUUUUGAUAUGCAUGCUUCAUUCUAUUACGUGAAACAUUUAUGUUAUUUUUAUAAUGUUGAUUAACUUUUGGAAUACUUUGAUGGGGCCUACGUGCCAAAAAUAUUUAUGGAUUAUGAAAUAAUUUUCCGCUGCAAUGUUUAAGUUAUUUGGUUAAAUUGUUAUUUAACUGUUAUUGGAUUAUGUUAAAUGUGAUAUCCCGUUGUUUAAGUUGUUUACUCUGAUAAUAGUUUAAGAAAUUUUCAUAUUGGGAAAACGGGGUGUUACAAUUGGUAUCAGAGCAGGUCGGUCCGUCCGGUCAAUUAGAAGACUCUUGUCGAGUCUUAGUAAUAGUUGUAUUACUUUCUUAUGUUGUUGUUUCUACUUGUUGAAGAAUAUCAGAAAUGGCUGGAAGGAACGAUGCUGCGUUAGCUGCUGCUCUACAAGCUGUUGCCCAAGCUGUGGGACAACAACCUAAUGCAAAUGCUGGUGUGACUGCUGAGACUAGGAUGUUGGAGACCUUCAUGAGAAAUCAUCCUCGAACUUUCAAAGGAAGAUAUGACCCUGAUGGAGCCCAGACGUGGCUUAAGGCGAUUGAGAGGAUAUUCCGUCUGAUGCAGUGCACUGAGGUCCAGAAGGUACGAUUUGGUACUCAUCAGCUAGCUGAUGAAGCUGAUGAUUGGUGGGUUAGUCUUCAACCUACCCUUGAGCAAGAAGGAGCUGUGGUGACUUGGGUUGUGUUCAGGAGAGAGUUCUUGAGAAGAUACUUUCCGGAAGAUGUUUGCGGGAAGAAGGAGAUCGAAUUCCUUGAGCUGAAGCAAGGAAACAUGUCUGUGACGGAGUAUGCUGCCAAGUUCGUGGAAUUGGCAAAGUUCUACCCACACUAUACUGCUGAGAAUGCUGAGUUCUCGAGAUGCAUCAAGUUCGAGAAUGGUUUGAGGCCCGACAUCAAGAGUGCGAUCGGAUAUCAACAGCUCCGAGUUUUCCCUGAUUUAGUGAAUAGCUGCAGGAUCUACGAGGAAGAUACAAAGGCUCAUUACCACCUGCGAAUGAUGUGUUGCAUUCUGCUUUGAGUAAUACCACCUGCGAAGAUAGUUGAUUUCCUGGCACUAAUAACCUGCCCCGCACAAUUAGCAUAUCUAGUGAAUAAAUUCUGCAAAGCCUGUAAACUUUCAAGAUUCUCUCUGCAGUAUAUCAUAAUAUCAUCUGCGUAAAAGCAAUGAGACGGAAUUUGCGUGUUUCUGGAUCCUGAGAUAAGCUUAAUCUUUCCAUCCUCAACAAGCUUGUUAAUACCCAUGCUCAAAACUUCUUCUGCCAAACAAAAAAGAAGAGGCGACAAUGGAUCACCUUGUUGAACUCCUCUAGAACAGUUGAAGUAACCCUGCUGCACACCAUUAAUUGAAAUAGAAAGAGAUGCUGAAGACAAGAUGGAGGCUAUCCGAUGACAGAAUGUCUGAUCAAAACCAAAACAACUGAGAACUUUUAGAAGGAAACCCCAAUCUAAAGUGUCAAAAGCUUUAGUGAUGUCGAUUUUCAAAGCUAAAUUCCCACCAUAAGCUUUCUUGUCCAAUAAAGUAACUGCUUCUGAAGCAAGACACAAGUCGUCUUUGAUAUUUCUACCUUUGAUGAACCCUUUUUGAUUGUCAGAUAUAAUAGAUGGAAGAAUAGAAGCCAACCUAUUUGCAAUGAUCUUUGAAAUAACCUUGAAUUUGAAAUUAGCCAUAGCAAUGGGCCUAUAAUAUUCCACCCUAACUGCAUUUGAAUGUUUAGGAAUGAGGAUCAAGGUAUUAGCAUUGAAGUUUGGGAGAAUCCAACCUGACUUAAAAAACUGCAAAAUAGCAUCAGUGAAAUCUUUUUGGAUAAUGUCCCAAUAGGUUUGGAAAAACAAGCCUCCAAACCCAUCUGGGCCAGGUGCCCCAUAUUUGUUAAGACUGAAAACUGUUGCUUUGAUCUCUGCUUGUGUCGGGAGCAUGGUAAGCAAUUUGUUUGUGUUGUCAUCAAUAAGCUUUGGAAUAACUUCUUCGACAAGAACCUGUUCCUGCAAAACAUGGUUAGUACAAAAUAAGUUUUUGAAAUAAUCAACAAUGUGUUCAGAUAUUUGUUGUGGGUCACUGAUCAAAUCCUCACCAACUCUCAAACUAGUAAUUUUUUUUGUCUUAUUUUUGAUUUGUGAAAGUCUGUGAAAAUAGCCAGUGUUUCUAUCACCCUCCAAAUGCCACUUAACUUUAGAUUUUUCUCUCCAAAAGCUUUCUUGUCUCUCUAAGGCUAUGUUUAGGUCAAUUUGGGCGGUUUGUUCGAGAUUUAGAAGAUUAUCUGUUGGGCCAGUAGUUUGAAUUUGGUUUUGGAUAUGGUUAAGGGUGACCUCGGCAUUAUUAACAUGCUGGUGGACAUUUUCAUAUACUUCUUUGUUCCAAACUUUUAGCUUUGUUUUCAAGAGUUUCAGCUUAUAGAUAAAAUUAAAAAUAAAUUGGCAACUUGGAAAGGUCGUAUUUUGUCAAUUAUGGGAUGGGUGCAGCUAGUUAAAUCAAUAAUUCAUGGCAUGCUUGUGUACUCUUUUCAUGUGUAUCUUUGGCCUAGAAGGUUAUUGCGGCUUUUGGACUCAUGGUUAAAAAAUUUCAUUUGGAGUGGUGAUGUUCAUACGAGGAAAGUUUGCACGGUGGCUUGGAAAGUUUUGUGUCGACCUUGGAAUGAAGGUGGGCUGGAUAUCAAGCCUACGCGCUUGAUUAAUGAAGCGCUAAUUCUUAAACUGUCUUGGGAUUUACUUGCUACGGAUUCUCAAUGGUCUAACCUCUUAAAACGGCGGUACUUCUUGAAUGGUACGCCCAACUCGCGUUACUUUAAAUCGUCGGUUUGGUCAGGUAUUAAGGAGUUUGUAGGGACGUUCUUGGUGAACUCUUUAUGGAUAGUGGGCAGCGGUGAUAGCAUCAAUUUUUGGACUGAUAAUUGGUUAGGUGCUCCGUUGGUGGAUUUGUUGAAUUUAGAUAAGGAAUUUCACGGUCAUCUCACAAGUAAACUUUCUGAAGCUAUUAUUAAUGGUGCCUUGUUAUUGCCUACGACUCUAGCAGCUUCUGGUGACAUUCAGGCCAGAAUGGAUAGCAUUGUUUUACCCUCCAGCCCGCUGCCGGAUUUGUUUGUUUGGCAGCUUUCUUCUGAUGGAUCCCUUUCUUCCAAGCACGCCUUUGCUUUUUUGUGCCCGCGUGCCACUUUGGUGCCUUGGGCGGAAGUCAUUUGGAGUGCUGCCAUUCCGCCCUCUGUUUCUUUUAUUUAUUGGCGGAUUCAUCAUGGGAAAAUGCCCACUGACGACAACAUUAGAACCCGUGGAUGCAUUGUGGUGUCUGUUUGUAGUUUGUGCUUGCAAGGAUAUGAAACAACUGAACAUCUUUUCCUUUCUUGCGCCUUUGCUUCCCGUCUUUGGGAUUGGAUUGGCUCUAGGCUGAAUCGUGUUGUUGACGCUUCUUCCUUUGAUUCCCUGCUGUCUUGUCGUCCAGCGAGUUGCUCCUCCCAAGUGGCCGACAUUUUUUUAGCCGCAAUCUUGCAUACUCUUCAUACUAUUUGGUGGGCUCGCAAUGCUAUCUGUUUCUCUGCGUUUCAGCCCUCAUUACACUUAGCUAAGGUACGUAUCCACUCUUCUAUUGCUUUGUCUGGGUCGGCCUCUAACGGUAAAUGCAUGACUUCGGAUUACUCCUUUAUGGAUUCGUUUAUGGUGCCACAUCAUCACCGUCGUACCAAGGAUAUGCUAUUGGUAUUGUGGAAGGCGCCGUCCUCCCCUUGGUUAAAGGUUAACACGGAUGGUUCAGUGUUAGGAGGGCACGCUGCUUGUGGGGGUAUUUUUCAUGAUUAUCUGGGUACUUUUAGAGGAGCUUUUUGUUGUAAUAUUGGUAUUCAGUCUGUUUUUUAUUCGGAGGUGCUGGGUUUUAUUAUCGCUAUUGAGUUUGCAGCUUGUAAAGGGUGGCGACACAUCUGGUUGGAAAGCGAUUCCACGAGCGCUUUGUUAGUUUUCUCUAACCCUUUGUUGGUUCCUAUUAUGCUUAGAAACAGAUGGCACAAUGCUCGUCGUCUCGGAGUUCAGGUUAUAGCAUCUCAUAUUUUUCGUGAAGGAAACUGUUGUGCGGACAAACUAGCCUCUUUGGGUCACUCCAGUGUUGGUCAAGUCUGGUUAGACAUCCUUCCUACUGAUUUGUACCUAUAUUUCUUUCGGGAUCGAUGCGGGCUUCCUAAUUACAGGCUACCUUAACUUGUCGGAGUCUGUUGUUUCUUCUUCUGUUUUUUCUGUUUUCUGUUUCUUUUUCUGUUUUCUGUUUGUGGAGGGUUUUGGUCUAGUCCCCCCUCCUUUUGUAAUUAUUUUUUUCUUUUUUUAAUAAAAUUUUCUUGAGUGUACCGGUAUAGGAUGGAGGUAUCUCGGGGGUGUCAACCUAGUUGGGAUGUCGAUGACGCCUCUUGAUGCUGUGUACACUCUCCUAGUUUAUCAAAAAAAAAAAAAAAAAAAAAAAAAAAAAGGACAAAGCAUGGGGCCGCCAACAAAGUUUGUGUGCCAGCAAGAAGCAAUGAAAUCUUUACAAUCACUAUGCAAAGACCACAUUUUGAGGAAUUUAAAGGAGGAAGCAUGACUGUUUUCAAGGAUGAAUGACGAAUGGAAAAACCAAUAGUCUCCUAAAAUAAUUGAAGUAAACAAAUGGAUGAAUGACGAAUGAGUUGUUGUUGUGUAAAACAUGUUUUAAGAGAAAGUCAAUGAAAACACAUACUCUCUCCGUCCCAAAUUGUAUGUCGCUUUAGGAAAAAAAAAUUGUCCUAAAUUAUAUGUCGCUUUACAAUACCAAUGCAACAUUAAUGUUACUUUUCCUAUUAUAACCUUAGCUAUUUAAUUCUUUCAAUUCUUUCAUUUAUUUUUCUCAUAUUAUUUAUUAAGGACAAUUUUGUAAAACAACUCAUAAUAUCUCUUUUCCACACAAUAUUAAUUGCAUUUCUUAAUAUGUGUGAAAUGUCUAAAACGUCAUACAAUUUGGGACGGAGGAAGUAAUACAGAAGAGUUUUUUUUUUUUUUUUUCUCUUGAAAGAAAACAAAUUAAUACUAGGCUAAAAACAAUUCAAAUAAAUAAUGUUUAUAUACUUUUUUUUAAGGAAAGAAGCUUAUAUCAUUUCAUUACUUAAAAUGUGUUCAAUACAUUCUGAUAUUUCUAUCAAAAUCUGGAAACUAGCUGAGGAUGUGGCCGCCUUAGCUAAUCUAUGGGUUGUCUCAUUUGUUUGUCUCCUCACAAACUCAACACUAGAGUUGACAUAGUAUUAUUCAAAGAUAGCUAUACAAUUAUGAAUAAUCAUCCCAAAUUCUGUAACAUCCUGAUGUGCAGAUGAAAAACUAUCCACCACUUUUUUAGCAUCAAGCUCAAAAUUGAUCAAUUUCACAUUUCCUUCUUGUCGCGGAUGUGCACAAGAUGUAUUACAAAUCCUAUGUGCAUCUUGCCAAUCAUGAAGCAUAACUUUUACUCUCUCGACAACAUACACUGGAGCAUCAAUUACCUCAUUCCACACUCUCUUGUUUCUUUGUUUCCAUAUACUCCACAACACACAACAAAAUAAAGCUGCAUCGUCCUUAGAUAAAUCCUGUGAUGCUUUGAAGAUAAUAUUCUUGCUAUCCAUAUCUUGUUGUAGCAAAAUAGAAAUAGAAGAAAAGAAAGGAAGCAUGCUCCAAACAUUUAAGCUACUUGGACAUUGAAAAAAUAAAUGAAGUGUAUCCUCAUUGCUCACCGUAUACGAGUUGGUAAGCAAUUCCUACAAGUUCGCCAAAUAAUUUUUUUUACCUUUGGAUGGAUCUUGAGCUUCCAAAUUAGAUUCCAAGAGCCUUGUACCUUGAAAUGGGAUGUAUCAAGUAAAUCUUCCACACAAAAACGGUAUGCACUACAAACAGAGUAUUCGCUAUGAUUUUCUUUUUUUCAGAUGAGUUGAUCUUCCGUCACUGAUGGGUAGAGCGGUGUCUUCAAUAUAUGUUCAACCACCUGGUGAUCAAAAAUUAACUGCAGAAAAGGUAAAUUCCAUUCCUUCACUAUAUACUAUUUAUAAUGCCUAAAAGAAGGAAAACAUAUAAAAAGUUUAUAAUGUCUGAAAAGAUAACUUUUCAAAGUAAUAUUAGGCUAAAAACAUACUAGCUGAGGCCAGGAAAAAUGACAAAAUGCUAAUUUCUCCCUCUGCAACAUCUUUUGAGGCCUCUUGAAUCUUCAAUUCUUCAUCUUCCCAAAGACUUCACAACUCUUCAGAUGUCUUGCUUUACUGAUAUGCAUGAUUUUUUCGUGAAUUACAACAAAACAUCCUAAAAUUUCUAUGUUUCAGGAAGAAUAUAAUUACAAACUUAAAUAUAGAAAAUGUUACAAAUGUCCCGAAAUCAUAAGAAAUUGUUCUAAUACUCCACUAUUCUGCUUGUAAAACCUACUGAAAUUAACUGAAAAAUAUACUAAGAAUAACGUAAGAUGACCUACCAUCAGUCUCUCAAAUGCAAGGCAAUGAGUAUUAAUUAAAUUGAUCCUUCAAUCCAUUCCAACUUAUUUCAUGAGCAUAUUCACUCUCCCAUUUUCACUUUGUGAUAAAAUUGAAAAAAAUUAUGAACUCAUUCUCGUGGGGUCUUUCAGGUUUCGCAAUAUAAAAGUAUUCACUAUUUGUCAUUGGAUAAACUCUCUAUGCACAAAAAAAAUGUAGGUAUGAGUUGCAAAAGUUUGGAAACCUUUAAUCUUGCUAGGUUAUGGAAUCAAGGCUGGAGAAUAGGUUACACUUCUAAAUCCGGUUGGAAUUAUAGUUGGAUCUCAGACAAUGUCACCUUCACACAACAACAUAAUGGUAUUUUUUUUCUUAUGGCUGACCUUAGUGUAUGACACUGUGUCCUUUCAGAUUAUAAUUAAAGCCUAGAUUGUCCAUAUUCAAUCAACAGGGUUUCGAACAUAUCAUCAACACGCCUUUGCAUGCUUCAAUGCAUGAGGACUUACUUAUUUAGAAGAAGGAAGAUAAUGGUGAGUAUUCUAUUCGUAGUGUCUAUUGAUUAUGCAUGAAUAAAUUACUUCAUACAACUCACUUUAAGGCGCAAUGAUAUUGGGAUUUACCCUAGAAACUGAAGAUGCCACCAAAAGUGAAAAUUUUAUUUGGAGAGUGUGUAGGAAUUAUCUCCUAACAUGCAUGAGCCUUAAAGAUAAAGGACUCAAUAACAUUACAUCUUGUGUUAUGUGUAGUCGGCAUAAUGAUGAUAGACUCCAUCUCUUUUCUAAAAUUCCUGGCCAGUGGCGGAGCCCUAUUCCAUGGAAUAGGGUGGGUCACGGUCCACCUGGUAAAAUUAAAAAAUUAAUAAUUAUAAGGUGUAUUUUGUAAGAUUUUAUACAAUUUUGUGUCGGUUUUAGGUUUCGGGUGAUCCAAGUUUCUGCAAAGUGAUGUAGUGGCCCAUCCGAAAAAUUUAAAUAAUUUAAUUAUAGGUCUAUUUUACGAGACAAUAAACAAUUUUUCGAAGGUUAUAUAGUUUUCCGCGAUUUCAAAAGUAUCAUACGUGAAUUUUGUGAUGCAUAUACUUGGCAUGUUAGCGGAGACUUGUAGACCUUCGAAUUUACAUGAGUUUCAAAUCACCUGCAUAUUAUUCUGUCAACUGAAAAUUUUCUCAGCUAACAGUUGUAAAGUACAAAGAAAAAGUUUCAUAAUUUAUAGUAGUCGUUAAAUAUGUAAUUAUUUAAGUAUCCACUCUAACUGUUUUUGCCAAACUCCGUUAUUUCAACUUCGUAAUUAAUGCUUAUUAUAAUUUUAAUUUGUAUUUAUAUAUUAUAAUUAAUUUUAGUGGUCCGUCCGAAUUUUUUUUCUGGCUCCGCCACUAGCAGUUGUAAUAUUUGGAGUAUGGGGGAAGCUUAUCCUUCCAUGUGUGAUUUAAUCAAUCAACGACAUGAAAGCAAGCACUCAUACUAAUUUUAACAUACUAAAGAUAUUACAAGUUGACGACGCAACUUUUUUUUAGAGAAACAUGCUUAUAGCAUUUCAUUAAUAAUUAAAGAUUCAAUAUAAUCGGGUAUAUCGAAAUAAACGGCAGGACUAGCUAAAGACGUGGCUUCUCUUGCAAGAGUAUGAGCAACCGCGUUGGCUUGUCGCCUAACAAACUCCACCCUAGAGUUAGAAAAGAAAUUACUGAACAACAAACGACAAGAAAAAAUGAUACAGCCAAAUUCGGAAUAUGCAUCAAAUGCAACAUCAAUGCAUCCUUUUCAAAACAAACUAACAAGGUUGAAAUAUGCAUGUGUUUAAGAGAUUAGUAAGGUACUUUCGUUCUGGCUAAAACAAAAUGGUUAAGCCCUGUGUGAAGUACAUAUUGAAGAAGCUCUUAGAUUAUUAUCUGCUUAAGAAUGAGUUUAUGAACUUAACUUGGAACCUGUUGAUUUUGAGCUUCAUAUAGUGGUUAAUAUCUUUUUUUCCCUAAAACGUGAAGUCACAAAGUUUGGGAUUAUUAUUCAAAAUUGUAAAGCUCUUUAUAUGAAUUAUUAUUAAAACUUUAAUGUAGAGUUUGUGAGUUGACAAACAAUUGAGGUUGCUCAUAAUUUUGUUAAGACGGUACAUUAGUAACUAGUUUUCAGAUGCUGAUUGAAAUACCAUAUAGUAUUGAAGAUGUUUUGAUUAAUGAAAAGAUAUAAAUUUUUUACCCUAAAAAGAAAAACCCAUGAAAGCCCUCUAAUAAUGUGUGUAUUGUAUAUACUUUGAUUCACAUUUAAAAUACUUUCAAAUAUUCCGAUUAAGUGGCAUGUGCAUGUCGACCAGAGAGAAUUCUAUUAUUCAAUGUUUAAGAAGUAAGUUUAAGUAGAAAAAUAUUGUACGUAUGAUUAUCAUCAAUGUGAUAUUUCAUUUAGAUCGAUUGGCUUGAAGUGUGGACAACCAUACUAUUUUGAGUAGAAAAUGCAAAAGUUAACUACAUCGCCAGAGAGGUAAAAUUAUUUUCUGUAUUUCUUGUCAUUUAAUAAGGGGUGUUAUUGUGUUCUUGUAACUUUAAAUGAUUAUAUGAAUUUUAAUCAAUUACUUUGUUUUUUUUUUCUGUUAAUAUUAUUGUUAAUGUUUUUUAUGCGUUCAUUGAAGUUCAUAAAUCAGUUUAGGUCAUGUCGAUUAUUAACCAUAACUUUUUGGCUUGACCUAAUUUACAUGUUCAAUUAUCAGUUAGAUAUAGACAUAAAGAAACUUCUAUGGUACACCUCAUAAAUUGGGAUGUAACAAUACUCUUGCUUAAUAAAUUGAUAAAUUAACAAUUAUUUUAGGAAGUAAAGAGUUAUUUGUCAAGGUUUAUAUUUUAGAAAACAUAAUUUCAUAAGAAAAAAACAUAAGUUCAUUGUUUAUAAUAAUCAUAUUAAUUUUUAACAUUUUCUCAUAAAAAAUACUCAAUAUUCUUCGUUAUGAGUAAUAAAAAUUAAAAGAAUUAAAUUUCAUUUCGUUGAUGCUUUUGGUAAAUAAGAUUUAAUUUUUAUAAUUGUCGAUGAAAGAAAAUAAUUAUUUUUCUUAAAAAAACAACUCAUUUAAAAAUUAAUUUAAUUAUUUGGUGUACCCGUACACUCAAAUAUUUGAGCAUACCAUAGAAUUUUCCUAGACAUAAACUACUAAUAAUUAUUACUUACUUUGGCAUUCAUAAACCUUCAUUAGUUAGGGCUCACCUAAGACAUUAGGGAGCAAUAAACAUUGAAGAGAUUUAAAGAACAAUACAUUGACCUAACUAUUUUGUUCAAAGGUAUUGAAAUCAAGUAAUCAAUAUCAUUGUCAGGGGCGGUGAUAAUCAGUGGCGGAUCUUCCUUGGGACCCAUGGUACCGCAAUGUUUCUAUAUAUAUUAUAUCAGGCAUAUUUUAGGUAGCGCAGUGGAAAAGUAGUUGCUUUUUCUCCGAGAUGUCGCGAGUUCGAUUCUUCCUUCUUCUCCCUUUUUUAUAUUUCUGUAUAUAUUUACUUUUUUGUCAAAAAAAGUCCAUGGGGGGAUUCAAACACACGCCUCUACACCAUACUCAUGUAAAUUAACCAUUACAGCAGUUAACAUUUAUGAUAAAUCAUUCAAACAGCUUAAUAUAUAUUUCAUACAAUUUUUGUACCCCCGAGAAAAUAACUCAAGAUCUGCCACUUUAUUUACUUUUUUGUCAAAAAAUGUCCAUGGAGGGUUUCAAACACACGCCUCUACGCCAUACUCAUGUAAAUUAACCAUUACAGCAGUUAACAUUUAUGAUAAAUCUUUCAAACUGCUUAAUAUAUAUUUCAUACAAUUUUUGUACCCCCGAGAAAAUAACUCAAGAUCUGCCACUGUCGAUAAAUUCUUAAAACAACUUAAUAUGACGAUCCUUUUUUAUUUUUAUAUAUGACUAUUUAUCUAUAUAUAUAUAUAUAUAUAUAUAUAUAUAUAUAUAUAUAUAUAUUUUGUGAAGGAAUGAAUUUAUAUAUAUUAUGUCACAUGUGAAUUUGCGAUAAAUUUUUCGCCCAGGCUCUAUGUAAUUCCUGGCUCCGCCACUGAUCAUUAUAUUCAUAGUUUGUAGUCACUUAGAUAAUUCGGGGAAGGAAAUAUGACAUAUAGCCUAGUUGCUUUCUCACUCUCUUAACGAAUUAAAACCAAUCACAUUGUAAGGGGACCCCCUAUUUACCGUGAUUUUUAGUAAACAACCGCUGGUUUUAAAAUUAGUUACUUGCAAGAUCAACCAGUAAAUCUUAGGACAUAUUGUCUUUGUUAUUUUCCAAAAUAUGAUGAAUGUUCUUGAUGUUCUUAUUUAAAUGAUGAAAAUAACCGUCGAAUUUAAGAAAGUUAAAUCCGUCGAAGUUCUUCCCGAUUGAAAUGAAUAGAAAAUACUUAAUUUAAACAAGUAAAUUGCAAAGGAAUUUAAGAAGACAAACUUAAAUUGCAUUGAUUGAAAGUAAAUUGGGACAUAGAUUCAUACAUUGUGACUGAUAACUCGUUUCUCUCUAGAUGUGGAUAGUUUAAGUGUGAAUUUUCUAUAUGAAUGUAUUGUGACCCUUUUUUUCUAUGAAAAAUUGUUAUUUAUACUAAAAAACUACCUGCACAUAGACAUUUGAAACUAUAACUGCCCCUAACGGCUUAGAAACGGCUCUUCAAUUUGAAUUUCAAAAGCAUGCCUUAAUGAUGCCAGUUAUUUGAUCUUAUCUGAAACCAAUCCUUUUCGAUGCCUUCAAUCUUGUCUAACUGUAAUCUUCCUAAUGCCAUAUUUUGCAAAGUACACACCUUCGACAAAAAUAUCAAACAUGUGAAACUCGAGAAUCUUUGUGGAAAUGAAGUCUUUUAUAAACAUUACAACUUUUCGAACCCACUAGUACAUUUGCUAGUAUUUUGUCAUCACCUUAUAGAGAAUAAAACUUGAGUCUUUUGAUUGUUAAAACAAUGUAUUGGGGCUUGCCAAAACAUCUGUAGGACAUGCAUCACGUGUUGUGCUUCGUCAAUUCAAGCCUCAUGAAAAAAAGAUAAGAAAUUUGAGGACAAUAUGAGAUAAUCUCUGCAUACAACUAACAAAGAGAUAUAAGGAUAUGGGUCUCUUUGUUGAAUUUAUACUAUAUAUAUAUAUAUAUAUAUAUAUAUAUAUAUAUAUAUAUAUAUAUAAAGAAAACAAUAUUUUUCAGCUCUUUUGAACUGAAUUGUUGUUUUUAAAAAUGCCUUUAAUUUUAAAUACAAAUAACACAUGCAACAAAUAGAUAAGAAUAAAUUUAAAUAUUAAAAUAAAGUAUAACAAACACAAAUGUCCUAAUUUUUUUUUUCUUUAUCAUUUAAAAAGUAUAACAAAUUAGAUGAAUAUAUAUAUACUUAUUUUUACAUUAUCCAAAUUAUACCCUUAAACAAUAACUUUUUCUAUGAUAAAGAUCGUUGUUGGUGUCAUUAAAAAAAAUUAAGAAUUUGAAUUAUAUUUUUUGGUUUUAUUGUUAGUUUCAUUUAAAUAGAUAAUCAUUCUUUCAAAAAAAAAAUUGAAAUAGAUAAUUAUGGUUAGUUUAAUUUGUUAUAAUUUAAAAGCAAAAAAUAUUUAAAUUUUUACUUUUAAUCAAAUUAAAAUUUCAUAAAAAAAUACAGUUCAUAAUUUUCAAAUUUAAGUACAAUAAAAACUUGCUCGUCCGUUCGGUAGUAAAUAAUAAUAAUCAUGUACACGAUUUUGUUAUUUAUAUAAGAGGAUAUAUAUAUAUAUAUAUAUAUAUAUAUAUAUAUAUAUAUAUAUAUAUAUAUAUAUAUAUAUAUAUAAUUGCAUUAGGUUCUUCUUUUCUUUAAUUUUUCAUGAACAAAUAAUUGCAUUANAUUUGUUUGUCUGCAAGUAUACAUAAAGGACAAUUAAGCGUGGUAAAGGGAACCCAACAACUCUGCGUACCUAUGACAAAAUUAUUAAACAGACAAAGAUACCAUUAUUCACACCCAAUAUAUCCCAAUAUCUGGACGAAUAUUUUUUUAUACACAACUAUCUCGUCUUGCUUGAGAGCCCAAAACUACUUACAAUUUAGACCAAUCUAUUGCUAAUUUUUUUAUGGAAAAUGCUAGAUAUCAAGAAUGAUUUUAUAAGAAAAAUUCAAGAAUGACAUGGCACAAUAAUCACCUUUAGAUUUCAGUCUCAUUUAUUAAUCUUUCAUAAAAAAAAGAUACAUAACACCCACCACCCCAUGAUUUCCGGCCAGGCUGAGAUUUUAUUGGUUAACAUUAAUUUCAGGACUAUUUCUUGAUAAAAUCUAAGGGUGAUUAUUCUGCCAUGUCAUUCUUGAAAUUUUCUUGAAAAAAUCUUUCUUGAUAUAUAGCAUUGCUCUUUUUUUUAUAGACAAUAGUUUUUUUUUUGAAUAAUAUAGACAAUAGUUUAUUUAAAGGUAAACUAUACAAUUAUUUCUUUUAACUUAUGUGUGGUUUCAAUUUGUUAUCCAACUAUUUUUAUUUCUUUUUAAUUUCCUAAAUAUAUAUGAUUUACCAGUUAAUCUUUGCAACUAAUGUUAACCUCAAUUAUCUAAAGUGGAUGAACAUUAUAGAAUCAAAGUAAAAUCCCAAAAUAAUUUAAGAGACUAAAGUAUGUAAUUUAGCACAACUCUUGUCAAAGGGAAACGAAUGAUGUUAUGAAGGCAGCUCUUAUGAAAUUGAAGAAUUUUACAUUUUUAUCAAUGUGAAAUUACAUGAUUGUCCAUCAUUACUUUUUAUUUAGUAAGUCUCACCUUUAAAAAAAAAAAUCAGUUCAUAAUAAAACAAAGGGUUAAAUAUAUUUUUAGUCCCUAUAAAAUUGAGACCUUCAAAGUUUAGUCCUUACAUAAUUUUAAUAGUUCUUUUAGUCUCUACAAAAAAAUUAUGCACUCAGUAUUAGUCUCUGCUCAAUUCAAAUUUGUUUAAUUUAUACUUAAACUCUUAAGUUUUUCAACAAUUUUUUGUAUACAUGUUAAAAACAUUACUAGAAGUACAUCAGCAAAAAAUAUCGCAAAUUUUGAUUUCUACGUCCAGAUUUUAUUACUUUUAUCUUUAACUUUUGUCGUUUUAAAAAAUUCAUAUUUAAUUCGUUUCAUGUUAAAAAAUUCUAAAUUUUAGUAAAUGAACUUUUUAUAGUGUUCUAAACAUGUCCCAAAAAAUCGUUUGGAAAUUUAAGAGUUUAAGGAUAAUUAAACAAACUUUGUUUUAGUAGGGACUAAAAAUAGAAAUAAUUUUUUUUUUUGUAAGGACUAAAAAUACUAUUAAAAUUAAGUAAGGACUAAACUUAAAAGUUUUCAAUUUUAUAGGGACCAAAAACAUAUUUAACUCUUCUACUUAUACUUAUUGUUCUUAAAAUACCUUCUACUUAAUGUUUUAGUAGCAAGAUGAAGAUUUGGCAAACUAAACCUAAAAUAAACGAGAACAUUAUACACAAAUUUUAACUUCAAACCACACAAAUAUUCAUUUAUUUGCAUCACACAUAAUAUAAGAUACACUCCUCAAGACAUCACCGACACAUUUAUUCGAUACAAACAAAGGAUCAAGGGAAGCAAAUAUGCAUGUUUAUGCUACAUGCCAUUAUACAAACAUCAAACUAGCUUUUAUUUUAUUUAUAAACUCACUCUAGCCUAUUAUAAAGAUGAACACUUCAUUAUUUAUAUGCUCACAUUUAUCCAUAAAAGUCAACCCAUUGAUUGAACUAUAACUCCAUAUUUAAAUAAUGGCUUAUAGAGCUACAUUUUCCCCCUUGACAAGAUGACCAUCAAUAUCUCUAGUGCAUUUGCUAAGGUAGUCCAUCCAGCCAUUGGGAGUAUCAAUAUCCUCAUUUUUCUUCUCAUAACCAAUAGUCCAUCUAACAGCAGAACUUCCAUUAUCCUUGAUAAUCACUUCUAAGAUAACGUUAAAGACCUUAUAGUUUUCAAUAUCUCCACCAAACAGCUUGAAAGUGAUUUUUUUGUUCUCCUCAUCAACUUCUUCAACCUGCUCAUUGCAUGUGUGUACCUCGCCAUCUGUUGUUAUGUCAGAGGCAAUUAUAAUACCAAAAUAUAUAGCAAUAAAAUACGCUUUUUUUCUUCUAAAGAAAAAUACAAUACGUUUUUUUAAUAGGAAUAUGAAAAAGAUUAGUUUCACCCCAAAGAUAAAAAUAUUUUGAUAAGGAUACAUUAUUUCUAAAAAUAAAAUAUUUUAUUGUUUUUGUUAUAUGGAUACGUAUUUUUGUUCUUGAGAUGUUAGGUUACCGAUGAUAAGAGUGUGACUUUUUAACCUCAAAGAACAAAAUUAAAAGGGGAAUGCUAACGAGUGUCUUUGAUGCAUUGGUUAAAGUUUGGUAAAAUUACACAAUUGGUCUUUUAACUUAAUUUUAAGUAUCAAUUUCGUCCUUUAUCUUCUUUUUUUUGUCACGAUUUAAUCCUUUAUGAUAUAAAAUGACAACAUGGUUAUCCUUUUUUAUGAAAAAAAUAAUCAAAAACUCCAAAAAAAAUCAUCAAAACACAUAGACAAACGCAAAUCUUCAUCAUACAAGCCUAUAAAAUCAAAUUUCAUUGAAAAAAUCUCAUAAGAAAUGAUAAAAUAUUGUCAUUUUAUAACAUAAAGACUAAAUCGUGACAAAAAAUAAAUAAAGGACGAAAGUGUUACCUAAAAUUAAGUUAAGGGACUAAUUGUGUAAUUUUGUUGUUAAAGUUCUCAAAUAGGUAAGUUUGCAUUAAAAAGUAGUGUAAUUAUUAGGCUAAAGUGCACUUUCCCCUCCAAAGUUUCAAAAAGUUGUGAUUUUGGUCCUAUGUACAAAAACUACAAUUUUGGUCCCUAACAUUUAACCUCUUUAUAUCUUUGGUCCUUUUGGCCAAUUUUGAUCGGUCAAUGCCUACAUGGCACGUCACGUGUGUAAUUAUUGAAUUAAAGACAAAAGUAAAGUCUUGUAUUUUCAAGACAAGGAUUCUAUUAAAAAGUUUCUUGAUCAAUAUUCUGAAGGCACUCGUUAGCAAGACCCAAAUUAAAAUCUGAUAUAAAAUAGUUUGUAAAAUGAUUAUUAGUGUCAUCGCUACUAAUAAUAAUUUUGCUUUUUUCUUCUAGUGACGCUAAAAGUUUGACCUUUAAAAUUUCAAGGAAUUACAUUGGCACGCUAAUGAAACAUUAAAAAAAUGUUUUACGAGUAAAUUACUACCAUUAUUGUUGUAAAGAUACGCAUAAAAAAAAUAUUUUUAUAAAAAAAUAAAAAAUAGUGUAAUUGUAUUUGUAAUUUAAUCAUGUGUUUAACCACACUUCCAUCAUCAUGCCGCUUUGUAGAUUUACUUUUUUUGUUUAUCUCCUCCACUAUUUUAAUGUGGCCUUUAAAUUUUAUUUUUUUUUACAUAAUAUUUAUAUAAAAUCAAUUUUGUAGAGAUCAAAAUUUAAUUUCAUGAUCAAGAGUAAUUGAGGUCUUUUUGGUAAUCAGUUAAGCUAUGCAAAUGUCUUAAAUUUAUCUGUUAUAUAAUAUACUUAUAACCAAAUUAAUUUUUUAGAGAUUUUUUUUUUUUUCAUCCAAAAUUUUGAGGCCUAUAACCCUUGCUUGGGUUGCUUGGCCCUUAGACCGGCCCUGUUCUGCAGGUAACCGGUAUCCUGCAGAUUCUGCUAAGGAUUUAGGUUCUCAGAUAAUACCUUCAUCUUUAAUUGUUUCCUUGGGAUCUUAGGAUCCGCAAGAAAGGUAUAUCCGCAGAAAAUGUGAAAAUAUCCCGCAUAAAACAUUCGGUCAGUUUUCAAGGAGUUUCCUUCUGCCCGUUAGCACUUUGCUGCAAACAUACUCGCAGGUAGUUCUGCAACAAACAGCACAGCAAAAUCCGCAGGAAACGAUAACGAUAACGAGAACAACAACAAAACUCAUGGGAAAAUCCUAGGUACGUACUUGGCUGCGGAACGUAUAUUAAUGGUUUAAAUUUGGGAAUUUAUAACGUGCUCCUCUCGCUAGGUUUCAAGUUCAAAUUAUCUAGAUACUAAUUAUUCUUGUAUUGAAUAGUCCAUACAAAAUUUUGUUCAGAUUUCAAUUAGCAUCUUUUGCUUGUGAACAAUGAAUUAUUUUUUUUUAGUAGGUAAAUUAUUGCCUUUGUAGGUUCUUUAGGUUCAAAUAGUUGUCUUCAAAAGUAUAACUUUUCCAACCAAGUUGUUUGGGCUCCAGUGGCAAUGAGCUCCUUCCAAGGAUGUACUCGGGGAAUACUGGUUUGAUUCCCAGGGGAACAACACUUGGCUAGUGCACAUUCCUCUACGCACAAGUUUAAUUAAUCGCCCACCUUGGUGGGUCGGAAACCGGUGCGAAAGAAAAAAAAAGUAUAACUUUUCCUUUUGUCAAAAAAAAAAAGUAUAACUUUUCGUUGACAAAUCAAAUCAGAAAUCUUUUGUGAUCAUUUAAAAAAAAGUAAACAUAAAACUUUUUCAAAUCAAAUAAGAUGAUGAUUUAGUUAUCAGAUCAAUUGAAUUGGAAACAUAGUUACCUAUGACAAUAGUCCAGUGUUUAACCGAAUCAUUGUGAUGCCAAUCUUCACCUUCAUGAAGCUUGGCAUGAUGAAUUCUUUCACAAACUUUUUGCACUUCGUGGAGUUCUGAUGCAAAUAGUUUGAAGAACUUCUCCCCUGGUGCUUUAAUCCCAAGUUCAGUGAUAAGUUUACCAACGAGCACCAUUUUUGGAAAGAAAAAAAAAACUAAAUACACAAUAAUAGAAAGAAAGAGAAGAAAGAAACAAAAUAAGGGAUGUUUUAUGAUAUGAUGGUUUAUGAAACCACAUGCCUUAAAUAGAAAUUUGAUUACACUGUGCAAAUUAAAUUAUGCGGUCCACUACUUGAUCCGUGCUCCCCCAACCCAUUAAUUAUUUAUUUUUUAGGAAAAGAUGCUCGUAGCAUUUGAUUAAUAAUAAGUUGUUUAAUAUAACGAGGUAUAUGAUAACAGAUACUGGGACUAGCUAGUAAUGGUCAGUCUUCGUUAGGAUAUGAGCUACCUCAUUGGAAUUUAACCUAUUAAACUUGACCUUGGAGUUUUUAAAAUGAGAAAAAUACAAUCUUCGGCAAGCAAAGAGGAUACACCCAGUCUCCGUAACAUUAAUCUCAUCCUAAUGAAAGGCAUUUACAAUAACUUUUGAAUAUGAACUGAAGUCGACAUUAUCAAAAGCCAAAUUGCUCAUCCACUCCAAUGCAUAGAAUAAAGCCAAUGUUUCCCCUACGGGGACUGAACACUUGGCAAAAUAUGAAUAAAUUUAGCAAGCACAAAAGUACCUUCCUCGCCGCGAAUGCAAAUACCUAUUCCUUUUCAAUUCAACUGGUUGGAGAAAGAUGCAUCAAUGUUGCAUUUAACACGACCAUGAGCUGGUGGCUGCCAUCUUAACAUGGUUACAUCGGAACUUCUCACCUAAGUGUUCUCAUUUCUGAAGCUUGUCACUUGCAUGGCUUGGUGUCGCUGUUAAAUUAAUAUUGUCACUAUUUUGUUGUGUUGUGUGUGGCCCCUUCUGAGUUGCAGUAACCGCAUUCGCCAUUUUCCAAUCCUCUACCAUACAUACAACCCUGUCCAUCACCUGUGCAGUCGUUUUCGUGAUGUCCUGCCACAACUUGAGGUCUAGUGUUUCGACAUGCUCCAAAUGCUUAUUGCAAAGCGCGAGCAUGAUCAUCUGCCAUAUCAUCAAGCAACUUAAAAAUACAAUCAGUUGUUGAACCUAUCUGAAUAAACAUCCAGUUCACCAUAUCCCAAAGUCCGCUACAAUUCCAAAUUAGAAUAGCAUAAUAGUAGUUGAAAAAAAUAUGAUUAAUGUUAAAAGUGACUCAAAAUUGAAGUUUGAGAAUCUACCAAAAUAGUAGCACAAUUUGGAAAAUCGUAGCACGUUUUUUGGACUAGAUUUGGCACUUCCCAUUCUGGAAAAAUCGUAGUACGUUCUGGCAAAAUUGCAGUACGAUUUUACGCUGAUGCAGAAAAAUAGAAACAUAUUUUCAGCUUCAGAUUUGUUCCAAAUUUUGAGGGAUACUUUUACUAUAAAUAUAGACCUUGUAUCAGAUGCAAAACAUGUAGAGAGUAGAAAAACAAGGUUUAGAAAUGAACAACAAACUAAGGUUUAUAGAGAUUUCUCUAGGCAACAAACACUAUGGUUGGGAUUGUUUUGAUUCACCUUGAACGAAACACUAUUAGGAUUGAAUCUCUUGAUCACGGGAAGAGAUUGAGACUUUGGGUAGAAUUAGGUUUGAAGACUAAUUCUUGUAACCUUUGAUAUCUCUUUUGUAAAAUCAUUAUAGUGGAAUGGAGGGCUGCUCUCUCCCCCAGACUAGGUCAGUAUUGGACCAAACUGGGAAAACUAAUUUUCAUGUGUUCUCUCUUUAUUUCUCUCAUUUUUUCUACUCUUGCUUGUGUUUAUAAUUGUCACCUACAUUGUUUUGGUUGCUUAAUUAAUUUUUUCCACACAUCAAGUAUUUUAUUGGUGUGAUUUUUUAACGAAUUCACAACAUAUGGCGCCCACCGUAGAGCAAGGGGGAUAUUGACAAGUGGGAUAUUGAGAGGUUAACUGGAAGUAACAAUUUUGGGUUAUGGAAGGUCAAGAUGGAAGCGGUUUCGAUACAACAAAAGUGUGCACAAGCUUUGAAGGAUGAAGGUGUGUUACCGAUCACCAUGUCACAAGAGGAGAAGACUGAGAUGGUGGGCAAGCCCAAGAAUGCCAUUGUCUUUUGCCUCGAGGAUAAAGUUUUAAGUCAUUUAGCGAAGGAACCAAUCGCGGAAUCGAUGUGGUCAAAGUUGGAGUCUUUGUACCGCGGAAUCGAUGUGGUCAAAGUUGGAGUCUUUGUAUAUGACAAUCUCUUUGGCUCAUCGGAAAUUCCUAAAGCAACAACUCUACUCAUUGAAGAUGUUGGAGUCAAAGUUCAUCAUGGAGUAACUUACGAAGUUCAAUACAAUCCUUGAUGACUUGGAGAAUAUUGAGGUGCAUCUUAAGGAUGAAGAUAAAAUUAUACUCUUCUUGUGUGCUCUACCGAGAUCAUUUGAAUCUUUCAAGGAUAUCAUGCUUUAUGGCUAAAAAGGCACUGUCACCUUGGAAGAAGUUCAAGCUGCUUUGAGAACCAAGGAGCAAACCAAGUCCAAGGACUUGAGAGCUGAUGAAAACGGUGAAGGCAUAUCUGUUUCAAGAGGGAAUGGUGGAGGUAUAGGUAACCAAGGAAAGAGUGGUAACAAGUCAAAGUUUAAUUGCUUUAAUUAUCACAAGAUGGGUCACUUCAAGAUGGAUUGUCCAUAGAACAAUGGUAACUCCGCACAAAUUGUCUCCGAGGGUGAUGAGAACACGGGUGCUUUGAUGGUGUCUCGUUGGGGUGAUAAAGAAAGUGAUGUUUCUCACCUUGGGAAUUAUGCCUUGUAGAGCGGUGGUCGUCUGGAGAGACAUUAAACAUUCAACAUCACCCUGGAGAGGCGGUCGAAAGAAUAGUCAUGGUCAGUCUGAAGAGGCGGAGGUAAGAAUACUCAUGAUCAACCUUUGAGGUGGAGUUGCAAGGUGAAAGACAUAGUGUGUGUGAGUGUGUGUGUGUGUGUGUGUGCGCGCGCAUUUGCUAGUUGAGGUAGAGAAAGCUCACCUUGAGGUGGAGUUGAUGACAUUGGACAAAGUAUGACUAUGGAGACCUUGGGUGCUAGGCUCUAGUUGUUAGCAAGAGAAUUCUUCAAAAAGACGGAAGGCAUUUCGGAUUUUGAAGAAUGUAUGACAUGACUUGUGUGAUUAUCUAAAAGACCAAGGAUGAUUGGAUACAAGGUGAUCUUCAAGGAAGUGUGAGACUUUAGUGGUUGAAGAGGGUUUGGUGUAGACUUGUGGAACUACCUAAAAUUCCUAGUGUAGUUGGAUGCAAGGAUCUUCAAGAAGGCGGAAGGCAUUCCGAUGGUUGAAGAGGCAAGGAUGGAAACUUGUGGAGAUACUUGGUGUAGUUGGAAGCAAGGGAAGAUGAAGGGUGGAGAGAGUAGCAAGGUGAUGAUUGUUAAAUUGACAUCAUCACUAAUUUAGAGUCAAGGUGGAGAAUAGUUGAAAGUGACUCAAAAUUGAUGUUUGGGAAUCUGCCAAAAUCACAACACGAUUUUUGGACCAAAUUUGGCACUUCCUAUUCUGACUGUGCAUAUCUGAUUAUGUGGCGUUUCUGCCUAUUUUUUUAGUGAGAAGAAAUGCAACAAGGAAUGAGGAAAUGAAGAAGUAAACUUCUACCUAAAUUGCAUCACUGGCUAUGAGACCUGCACCACGAGAAAAAAUUUGGAAAUCAAAGUGAUCCCUUUGGCUAAAAGGGAUGCUCAAUACCUACCUCACAUCGCGAGGAUAAGGCUCGGAUCCUACACUAAUUUUCUUGAGGGAAAUGGAUGCCUAUAAAUACUUAACCCUAUGUUAGUAGGAAAAACACCUUUUGACGAACAUAACAAGGUAGAGCGACCAGAACCCUUUGGAAGCCAAGGAAAAGUGAUUCGGUGAUCCUUUUCUUAUGUUUUAUUGUUCAUAUAUAAUUAUAUGUAUUUAGAAGUCAUGAGUUUCUAAAUCCUCUAUAGGUUAGGUCGUAAAAGAGGAAUUUCCCUGUAAUUAUUUAUUCUUGUAACUUUAAAUGAUUAUAUGAAUUUUACUCAAUUACUUUACUAUUUUAUUCGGUUAAUAUUAUUGUUAAUGUUUUUAAUGUGUUCAUUGAUGUUCAUAAAUCAGUUUAGGCCAUGAUGAUUAUUCCAUAACUUUGUGUCUUGACCUAAUGCAACCAUUCAAUUAUCAGAUAGGUACAUACAUAAAACAAUAAUAAUCACUACUUACUUUGUCAUUCAUAAAUCUUCAUUAGUUAGGGCUCACCUAAGACAAUAGGGAACAAUAAACAUUGAAGAGACUAAGGCAUUGACCUAACUAUUUUGUUCAAAGGUAUUAAAAUCGAGUAAUCAAUAGCAUUAUAUUCAUAGUUUGUAAUUAAAACUAAUCACAUUGCAUGGUGCGAUUUUGUUAUUUAUAUAAGAGCAUAUCAUUAUAUGUAUACACUAGAUUUGAAUGUAUAUAUAUAUAUAUAUAUAUGUAAAUAAUUAAUGCAUUAGGUUCUUCUUUUCUUUAAUUUUUUAUGAACAAAUAAUUGCAUUAGAUUUGUUUGUCUGCAAAUAUACAUAGAGGACAAAUAAGUGUGGUAAAGGGAACCCAACAACUCUGCGUACCCAUGACAAAAUUAUUAAACAGACAAAGAUACCAUUAUUCACACCCAACAUAUCCCAAUAUCUGGACCAAUAUUUUUUUAUACACAACUAUCUCGUCUUGCUUAAGAGCUCAAAACUACUUACAAUUUAGACCAAUCUAUUGCUAAUUUUUGUAACUAAAUUCUAUUAAUGGACAUUUCGUCUCAAAUUACCUUUAUAAUCUAUUUAAAGGUAAACUAUACAAUUAUUUCUUUUAACUUAUGUGUGGUUUCAAUUUGGUAUCCAACUAUUUUUUAUUUCUUUUUAAUUUCCUAACUAUAUAUGAUUUAGCAUGUUAAUCUUUUCAACUAAUUUUUAACCUGAAUUAUCUAAAGUGGAUGAACAUUAUAGCAUCAAAGUGAAAACCCAAAAUAAUUUAAGAGACCAAGUAUCUAAUUUAGCACAGCUCUUGUCAAAGGGAAAGAAUUGCAUUUUUAUCAAUGUGAAAUUACAUGUUUAUCCUUCAUUUAUUUUUUAUUUUGUCAGUGACUCCUCUGUGCUGUUUAGCAUAAGUAAUCAGCUCAUAAUAAUGUAACUAAACUACUACCUCCGUCCCUAAUUAUAGGGCUCUUUUGAAAAAAUAACGGGAAUUAAGAUAGUGGAUAUUUGUAUUAAAUAUGUUUGUAAUUACUAUUGCUGAUUGAAGAAAAAUAUGUAUAAUAAAUAGGGGCAUGUAUAUAAAGAAAUAAUUAAUAUAGUUGGAAAUAGUAAAAGAGUCUUAUAAAAAAGGACAAAUUAUAGUUUUUCCAAAAGAGUGUUAUAAUUAGAAACGAAGGUAGUACAUGUUUUAGCAGCACGAUCAAGAUUUGGCAAACUAAACCUUAAAUAAAUAGAACAUUAUACACAAAUUUUAACUUCAAAGCACACAAAUAUCCAUUUAUUUGCAUUACACAUAAUAUAAGAACACUCCUUAAAACAUCACCGACACAUUUAUUCGAUACAAACGAAGGUUCAAGGGAAACAAAUAUGCAUGCUUAUGCUACAUGCCAUUAUACAAACAUCACACUAGCUUUUAUUUUAUUUAUAUGCUCACAUUUAUCCAUAAAAGCCAACCCAUUGAACUAUAACUCCAUAUUCAAAUAGUGGCUUAUAGAACUACAUUUUCUCCCUUGACAAGAUGACCAUCAAUAUCUCUAGUGCUUUUGCUAAGGUAGUCCAUCCAACCAUUUGGAGUAUCAACAUUCUCAUUGUUCUUCUCAUAAUCAAUAGUCCAUCUAAGAGCAGAAGUUCCAUUAUCCUUGAUAAUCACUUCUAAGAUGAGCUUAAAGACCUUAUAGUUUUCAAUAUCUCCACCAAAAAGCUUGAAAGUGAUUUUUUUGUUCUGCUCAUCAACUUCUUCAACCUGCUCAUUGCAUGUGUGUACCUCACC
RNAcentral lists this long non-coding RNA (34746 nucleotides) under Medicago truncatula (barrel medic). RNAcentral's name for it is "long non-coding RNA (MTRU_LNC006165)". The record is from RNAcentral. Lineage: Eukaryota; Viridiplantae; Streptophyta; Magnoliopsida; Fabales; Fabaceae.